UAAAGUACUUGGCAGAAUCCUCAAAUGUAUACAAGUGAUAACAAAACUAAAAAUUUGUAGAACAAAAUUCAGAUAGCUAAAAGUACCAUGUCACCAUCACUCUCUUCUUUUGGUUCCUCCUUUUUCUCCUUCACUACUGAAACAGUGGCAACAACAGCUCCACUACCAGCAGCACUGGCAAUCAAAUGCUCAAUAUUUUUCGUAGUUUGAAUUGUGUUUUCUAUACAAUUUUUAACAUUCUCUUUUAUUAAAUUUAUUUAUUUGUGGUGUCCCAAUACCAAAACGGUUAAAAUAAAACAAUUCAGACUCUGUAUUUUAAAUAUCUCAAAAAAUUGUUUACUUUGACCU
Molecule: long non-coding RNA, 348 nt
Filed under: Lathyrus oleraceus (garden pea)
Lineage: Eukaryota; Viridiplantae; Streptophyta; Magnoliopsida; Fabales; Fabaceae
Description: Pisum sativum (pea) long non-coding RNA (PSAT_LNC030785)
Source: RNAcentral